This 875-nucleotide ribosomal RNA is filed under the name uncultured bacterium. Its description in RNAcentral is "bacterial SSU rRNA". It matches the Rfam family "Bacterial small subunit ribosomal RNA", at positions 16 to 906 of the family's 1533-position model. The record is from RNAcentral.
AUCAUGGCUCAGGAUGAACGCNGGCGGCGUGCCUAACACAUGCAAGUCGAACGAAGAGGCCCCUUCGGGGGUACUUCAGUGGCGGACGGGUGAGUACAACAUAGGUGACCUACCCCAAAGCGGGGGAUAACAGUCCGAAAGGAUUGCUAAUACCCCAUGUGGUCCUUGAGAUUUGAGGCUCGAUGACUAAAGGAGUAAUCCGUUUUGGGAGGGGCCUGUGGCCCAUCAGCUUGUUGGCAGGGUAAUGGCCUACCAAGGCUACGACGGGUAGGGGGCCUGAGAGGGUGACCCCCCACAUUGGCACUGUCACACGGGCCAAACUCCUACGGGAGGCAGCAGUGAGGAAUAUUGCACAAUGGGCGAAAGCCUGAUGCAGCAACGCCGCGUGAGCGAUGAAGGCCUUCGGGUCGUAAAGCUCUUUUGAGAGGGACGAGAUAGGACGGUACCUCUUGAAUAAGUCACGGCUAACUACGUGCCAGCAGCCGCGGUAAAACGUAGGUGGCAAGCGUUAUCCGGAUUCACUGGGCGUAAAGCGAGUGCAGGUGGCUUUGUAAGUUGGAUGUGAAAUAUCCCGGCUUAACCGGGAAGGGUCAUUCAAUACUGCAGGGCUUGAGGGCAAAAGAGGGGGGUGGAAUUGCCGGUGUAGUGGUGAAAUGCGUAGAUAUCGGCAGGAACACCUGUGGCGAAAGCGGCCCCCUGGUUUGCUCCUGACACUCAGACUCGAAAGCUAGGGUAGCGAACGGGAUUAGAAACCCCGGUAGUCCUAGCCGUAAACGAUGGAUGCUAGGUGUAGGUGGUAUUGACCCCAUCUGUGCCGAAGCUAACGCGUUAAGCAUCCCGCCUGGGGACUACGGCCGCAAGGUUAAAACUCAAAU